This 696-nucleotide ribosomal RNA is filed under the name uncultured bacterium. Its description in RNAcentral is "bacterial SSU rRNA". It matches the Rfam family "Bacterial small subunit ribosomal RNA", at positions 32 to 715 of the family's 1533-position model. The record is from RNAcentral.
AACGCUAGCUACAGGCUUAACACAUGCAAGUCGAGGGGAAACGACAUCGAAAGCUUGCUUUUGAUGGGUGUCGACCGGCGCACGGGUGAGUAACGCGUAUCCAACCUGCCCACCACUUGGGGAUAACCUUGCGAAAGUAAGACUAAUACCCAAUGACGUCUCUAGAAGACAUCUGAAAGAGAUUAAAGAUUUAUCGGUGAUGGAUGGGGAUGCGUCUGAUUAGCUUGUUGGCGGGGUAACGGCCCACCAAGGCGACGAUCAGUAGGGGUUCUGAGAGGAAGGUCCCCCACAUUGGAACUGAGACACGGUCCAAACUCCUACGGGAGGCAGCAGUGAGGAAUAUUGGUCAAUGGGCGAGAGCCUGAACCAGCCAAGUAGCGUGCAGGAAGACGGCCCUAUGGGUUGUAAACUGCUUUUAUAAGGGAAUAAAGUGAAUCUCGUGAGACUUUUUGCAUGUACCUUAUGAAUAAGGACCGGCUAAUUCCGUGCCAGCAGCCGCGGUAAUACGGAAGGUCCGGGCGUUAUCCGGAUUUAUUGGGUUUAAAGGGAGCGUAGGCCGGAGAUUAAGCGCGUUGUGAAAUGUAGACGCUCAACGUCUGCACUGCAGCGCGAACUGGUUUCCUUGAGUACGCACAAAGUGGGCGGAAUUCGUGGUGUAGCGGUGAAAUGCUUAGAUAUCACGAAGAACUCCGAUUG